GGGGGGGCAAGCGUUUGUUCGGAUUUACUGGGCGUAAAGGGCUCGUAGGCGGCCACCUAAGUCGAUUGUGAAAUCCCUCGGCUCAACCGGGGAACUGCGACCGAUACUGGGUGGCUUGAAGCCGGGAGAGGGAUGCGGAAUUCCAGGUGUAGCGGUGAAAUGCGUAGAUAUCUGGAGGAACACCCGUGGCGAAGGCGGCAUCCUGGACCGGCCUUGACGCUGAGGAGCGAAAGCUAGGGGAGCGAACGGGAUUAGAUACCCCGGUAGUCCUAGCCCUAAACGAUGAAUGCUUGGUGUGGCGGGUAUCGAUCCCCUGCCCGUGCCGUAGCUAACGCGUUAAGCAUUCCGCCUGGGGAGUACGGUCGCAAGGCUG
Molecule: ribosomal RNA, 373 nt
Filed under: uncultured organism
Description: partial 16S ribosomal RNA
Rfam family: Bacterial small subunit ribosomal RNA
Source: RNAcentral